UCUGCAGCUACUUCUCUAUUCCCCUCAGCUCUGCUCAACACUACUGCUCCGUUUGUUAUUGACCACUGCCUGGAACUCCAGGGUCGCUCCCUCCCUCAGUGUCAUAUUCUCCUGUCACUCUGUUCUCAAUCGAAAAGGGGUGUAAAGAGGCUGAAAUUUCUCUAUGUUGCCCUAUUCAACAAUUUCCACAAAACCACUAACGACAGCUAUUUUGUAUGACAUAUUUUACUUAAGUGAUAUAAGGAAAGGCAGAGGGGUAGCACACAGCAAAGAACUUAAAACAAAUACUAGCUUGGUCUUAAAAGUCCUUUGGAUAUUCCCAUCACCAUCAACUUCUCUAACUUUUGCCUCUUCUGGGUAAUGGGUUCUUUCAUUUUCCCCAAUUCUCAUGAUGUUCUCUAUUUAUAUCCAUUACUGCCUCUUGACUCUUCCUAGUAAGUCUACUCAAGGGAAUUAACAUUUCCUUUUUACAAUGAAAAGCAAUACCUUGACUCACUCUCCUCCUGGCAGGCCAGGCCCUGAGCCUUAUCUUUUCAUCAUAUGCCCAUCAAGGUAUAUUGCUAAAGAGAAGAGAGCUCUCCAAUUUCAGAAGUUCUGCCUAAGCUUUAACGCCUGAUGUCUGGGAGCUCGUCUAAUUCUGCCACUUUAAGGGUCUACUCUGCAGUCCUCAAAGUUCAGAUGAUUCUUCCCCAAACCAUCAAAGACAGCCCUGGCUGUCUCUGAGUUCUUAUGCCCAUGAGGAUGACCUAUGAAUCCCAGAAAGAUACAGAAUUGAGAAUCACCAGAGAACUCUGUUCCAGGAAUCAAGUGAUUAAAGUUACAGUUCCAGUGUCAUCACUAAAUAGCAAGGUGACCUUGGAUGCCUCAUUUUAUCAAAUCUCUCCAUUUUUCAACCUCUAAAAGUAGGAUAAUUUCACAGAUUUGUUAUAAGGAUGAAAAGAGAAAAUGGAUGGGAAAAGUUUGUGAAAGCCUUUGAGAUGUAGGACAAUAAAAAUGGGAAGAGAUCUGCUGGGAUGUUAUCUAGCCCAACCUUCCACCAGGGGCUCACUGAGACUCUGCAUGGAACUUUCACUAA
This 1075-nucleotide long non-coding RNA is filed under the name Homo sapiens (human). RNAcentral's name for it is "HSALNT0364998". Lineage: Eukaryota; Metazoa; Chordata; Mammalia; Primates; Hominidae. The record is from RNAcentral.